GGUCUCAGUUCAGAUUGCAGGCUGCAACCCGCCUGCAUGAAGUCGGAAUUGCUAGUAAUCGCGGAUCAGCAUGCCGCGGUGAAUACGUUCCCGGGCCUUGUACACACCGCCCGUCACACCAUGGGAGCCGGUAAUACCCGAAGUCAGUAGUCCAACCUCGUGAGGGCGCUGCCGAAGGUAGGAUUGGCGACUGGGGUGAAGUCGUAACAAGGUAGC
This 216-nucleotide ribosomal RNA is filed under the name uncultured bacterium. RNAcentral's name for it is "partial 16S ribosomal RNA". It matches the Rfam family "Bacterial small subunit ribosomal RNA", at positions 1284 to 1500 of the family's 1533-position model. The record is from RNAcentral.